GUGACUCAGUGGUAGAGUACUUGCCUUGCAUGCAUGAGGCCCUGGGUUCAAUUCCUCAGC
Molecule: non-coding RNA, 60 nt
Organism: Dipodomys ordii (Ord's kangaroo rat)
Lineage: Eukaryota; Metazoa; Chordata; Mammalia; Rodentia; Heteromyidae
Source: Rfam